CUCCCUGGUUCUUUAGACUUCCAUCUGAGAGCAAAACGGCUUAAAAGUACUGUUGAAAAAUGGUCCUACAGUGCCCCCGAAAGUUGAGGGUUGCCACUUGGAAAAUAGCUACAUGCACACUUCUUGAAAAUCACUUUCUUUGGGUAUUUAGUUUUGUAGGAAUAAUUUAAAAUGUAAUAGGUUAAACCACACAAAAAAAAAACGAUUAGGGAGAAGACAAUAAUUAGAUUUGUGUUUCAGAAACCUCACGGAUGGGAUUUUAUUGGGCCCUGAACAGUGCUGAUUUUACAGUCUUUCCGUACCCUCGUACGUUGUGCGCGGCAUAAUGCUCAAUGCUUAAUGCCCGCGCUUGAUAAGCAUGAUCGGACCUCCGAUGUACUCAUGUACAUAAGUGGGCUUACUUAGCUUGCAGGGGUUAAGUUACAUGUACAUGUACUUUGGAAGGAUUCCGUUAUAUUUUGAUAGUUUUUGGCACGAAGCUUCAUUAACGAGUAGAUAGAGUUGAUUGCAGGUGCAUGUAAUCCCAUCUCAUGAUGUCUCUUGUUGAUCUUGGUAAGAAGCUACUAGAGGCUUCUCGACAGGGCCUUGAAGAUGAAGUGAAGAUUCUUAUGGCCAAUGGAGCACCAUUUACAACUGAUUGGCUUGGUACCUCUCCCCUCCACCUUGCUGCACAUGCUGGUCAUGUACCUACUGCAGAAGUUCUUCUCAAAGCAGGAGUCAGUCGUGAUGCUAGGACAAAAGUAGACCGAACACCUCUUCAUUUGGCUUGCCAAGAAGGUCAUAAAGAAAUUGUUCAGUUGUUGAUAGAACAUGGUGCUGAUGUCAAUGCUAAAGAUAUGUGGAGGAUCUGUCAGUUGAAAAUGACACCACUUCAUUGGGCAGUUGAGCGAUUGCAUGCACCAGUUGUCAAAGUAUUACUAGAAAAUGGGGCUGCUUUGGACAAUUUCAACAAGUUUGAUAAAACCCCAGUGGAUAUAGCUGCAGAUCACCAGAAUGAAGAGGUCAUUGCUAUAUUGGAAAUGGCUCAGGGAAUGGGAAGUGAGGUGACAAUAGAGGAAGCUCCAUGUGUCUACAUCACAACAGAUGGUGAUCCAUCUGUCACUAUCAGUCCCACUCCAGCAGCUACUGCACUGCAAAGCUUUGUCACAGCAGCAGCAAGGGCCAAAUCUAAGGCUAGUUGUAAAGUUGUCACUAAAGUACCCACUACAGCAAGUUCUACAUCAGUGCUGGCAACGUUGGCAGCUUUAGCUGAGGCCUCUACACCUCUCAACAAACUUUCUGCCCACAGCAAUAGAAGUAACUCUCUAUAUGGAACAAGUGGCGAAUCACUUCAGAUGUAUACAUUAACAGAAGCUGGAAAGCUGGCCAUGCAGUGGAAGAAAUUCAGCAAUGAGGAUGAGAAUCGAAAGCAGUCUUGUGCAGGUGGCAGACUGACCUUGUAUUGACCUAUUUUCAGAGUUCACCAGGUGGUGCUGUUGUUUUUUGGAUAAGUAUAUUUCCGUUGCAUCAGAAUAAAUUGAGUGUGUUUAUUUAUUCUGCUUGCUUGAAUGUGCUCUAUGAUUUGCCCCAGUUGUGGCAUUCUUGGUUAUAAUUUGACAUAACCAAGGUCAUUAAUAUCAAGGAAACACAAUUCAAAACGAAUAACAAUGUGGAGAGAUAUUAAAACAAGGCAAAAAAAAUACAUGUAGUGUGAAUACGAAUUGUAAAUCUACUAACACAUGAGUUAGAAGCCCCCCAAAAAAAUUUUGAAGGAAUUAAAUUACUGAUAGAAGAUACAAUAAUUAACCAUUAUAUUUAAUCAAAUUAAGAAUUAGCAAAGUAAUUAAUCCAUCUAAUUCAUCUAGACUGUUAGUCAUCAGUUGUGUGGAUCCAGUUAACAAGGCACUUAGAGUAGAAUAUUACAAAUGACGAGACCAGGGCAAGUUUAGAUAUGUGUAGAAUAGAUCUGUUGAAUUCUUUUUUGUCUGGGUGGGAAGAAGUGAUUUCAAGUGGUUUCUGUUGUCAGGAGUAAUGAGACAUUUGCUUCCAACUUCAGUGGCGAUGAAUGUACAGGUGAAGCGGAGUUGGGUGAUGUCAUGGACUAAGAUAUAGAUUCUUCAGAAUCUACCCAGAAAGUUAUCACCAUUGUCCAGACUACAGAGCAGGAACCAGAAAUUACCUCUAAUAGCAGCAGU
Molecule: unclassified non-coding RNA, 2174 nt
Filed under: Acanthaster planci (crown-of-thorns starfish)
Lineage: Eukaryota; Metazoa; Echinodermata; Asteroidea; Valvatida; Acanthasteridae
Description: gA-binding protein subunit beta-2-like, transcript variant X8
Source: RNAcentral